Molecule: ribosomal RNA, 512 nt
Filed under: uncultured fungus
Lineage: Eukaryota; Fungi
Description: eukaryotic LSU rRNA
Rfam family: 5.8S ribosomal RNA (bases 150-303)
Source: RNAcentral
CGCCCGGGCUUCGGCCUGGUUAUUCAUAACCCUUUGUUGUCCGACUCUGUUGCCUCCGGGGCGACCCUGCCUUCGGGCGGGGGCUCCGGGUGGACACUUCAAACUCUUGCGUAACUUUGCAGUCUGAGUAAACUUAAUUAAUAAAUUAAAACUUUUAACAACGGAUCUCUUGGUUCUGGCAUCGAUGAAGAACGCAGCGAAAUGCGAUAAGUAAUGUGAAUUGCAGAAUUCAGUGAAUCAUCGAAUCUUUGAACGCACAUUGCGCCCCCUGGUAUUCCGGGGGGCAUGCCUGUUCGAGCGUCAUUUCACCACUCAAGCCUCGCUUGGUAUUGGGCAACGCGGUCCGCCGCGUGCCUCAAAUCGUCCGGCUGGGUCUUCUGUCCCCUAAGCGUUGUGGAAACUAUUCGCUAAAGGGUGUUCGGGAGGCUACGCCGUAAAACAACCCCAUUUCUAAGGUUGACCUCGGAUCAGGUAGGGAUACCCGCUGAACUUAAGCAUAUCAAUAAGCGGAG